UAUCCUACACUAGAAAACACA
RNAcentral lists this non-coding RNA (21 nucleotides) under Arabidopsis thaliana (thale cress). The record is from RNAcentral. Lineage: Eukaryota; Viridiplantae; Streptophyta; Magnoliopsida; Brassicales; Brassicaceae.